Long non-coding RNA from Heterocephalus glaber (naked mole-rat), 692 nucleotides. Lineage: Eukaryota; Metazoa; Chordata; Mammalia; Rodentia; Bathyergidae. The record is from Ensembl.
UCUGCCUUCCAGAUCAGUCUGAGUCAGCUGAUACCUCUCCAGUGAAUUUCUGGUCUGAGGUUUAUAAGCAAAUGUUAUAGUUUGUAAGUAAGUACUCUCGGUCAUUCAAUGGAAGCCUUCUGGAACCUCAUGAGAGAAGAUCAUUUCACAAAGGGAUUUGUCUUUAUAAGACCUUUCUUAAUGCUCUCAUCGUGUCAUCCGAUCGAAACUGCAGUGAAGGAGCUACGUGGGGGUCAGCCUCUGUAUGGGAAUUUUUCUGUUCGCUACUGUCAAGGUUUUUGUUUUUGUAUUUUUCCUCAGAAAAGAAAAACAGAAGUCGUCCUGAGAACAUUGUUGCUCAUGUGGAAUGCUUAUUGUGGCUUGGACCGUGUACAAAAUAACCUUGCUUCAAAUCCUUCUGGCUUGAUUCAUUAAUUUUUUCCAAACUCAUAAAAUAUAAGAUGCAGCAUUUGAAGAUCAAUAUGGGUUUCUCUGGCCUCUGAAAGGAUCUUAGAGGAAGAAAUAAGUCAAGGAGAGAUAAGCCUCUCCAUUCAAAUGGGGUGUCUCAGGGAAUAGGAAUGACUGAGGAGGGAGCCUGAUAAAAGAUCUGAGCUCUGGACGCAAGGCCGGUCAGCCUGUCACCCAAGAGCCUCCUCUACUGCUUCAGACUUCCCACAAGCAGGUUUCAUUUUCCUCAGAGCAGCCGUCUUCUG